RNAcentral lists this ribosomal RNA (427 nucleotides) under uncultured bacterium. Its description in RNAcentral is "partial 16S ribosomal RNA". It matches the Rfam family "Bacterial small subunit ribosomal RNA", at positions 355 to 774 of the family's 1533-position model. The record is from RNAcentral.
UGGGGAAUAUUGGACAAUGGGCGAAAGCCUGAUCCAGCCAUGCCGCGUGUGUGAAGAGGGUCUUCGGAUUGUAAAGCACUUUAAGUUGGGAGGAAGGGUUGUAGAUUAAUACUCUGCAAUUUUGACGUUACCGACAGAAUAAGCACCGGCUAACUCUGUGCCAGCAGCCGCGGUAAUACAGAGGGUGCAAGCGUUAAUCGGAAUUACUGGGCGUAAAGCGCGCGUAGGUGGUUAGUUAAGUUGGAUGUGAAAUCCCCGGGCUCAACCUGGGAACUGCAUUCAAAACUGACUGACUAGAGUAUGGUAGAGGGUGGUGGAAUUUCCUGUGUAGCGGUGAAAUGCGUAGAUAUAGGAAGGAACACCAGUGGCGAAGGCGACCACCUGGACUGAUACUGACACUGAGGUGCGAAAGCGUGGGGAGCAAACA